CUUCCGGACGCGACCCCAGGUCAGGCGGGAUUACCAA
Molecule: ribosomal RNA, 37 nt
Filed under: Elytraria imbricata
Lineage: Eukaryota; Viridiplantae; Streptophyta; Magnoliopsida; Lamiales; Acanthaceae
Description: partial 28S ribosomal RNA
Source: RNAcentral